UGGAGUUUUGCUUUCUGCGCCGAAG
RNAcentral lists this non-coding RNA (25 nucleotides) under Mus musculus (house mouse). Lineage: Eukaryota; Metazoa; Chordata; Mammalia; Rodentia; Muridae. The record is from RNAcentral.